AUUGAACGCUGGCGGCAGGCCUAACACAUGAAAGUCGAGCGAGCGGCGGACGGGUGAGUUAUGUCUGGGAAUCUGCCUGAUGGAGGGGGAUAACUACUGGAAACGGUAGCUAAUACCGCAUACCAUCAGUUGCGCCCAGAUGGGAUUAGCUAGUGGGUGGGGUAAUGGAUCACAUAGGCGACGAUCCCUAGCGGGUCUGAGAGGAUGACCGGCCACACUGGAACUGAGACAGGGUCCAGACUCCUACGGGAGGCAGCAGUGGGGAAUAUUGCACAAUGGGCGCAAGCCUGAUGCAGACAUGCCGCGUGUGUGAAGAAGGCCUUGGGGUUGUAAAGCACUUUCAGCGAGGAGGCGUUACUCGCAGAAGAAGCACCGGCUAACUCCGUGCCAGCCGCCGCGGUAAUAC
RNAcentral lists this ribosomal RNA (406 nucleotides) under uncultured bacterium. Its description in RNAcentral is "partial 16S ribosomal RNA". It matches the Rfam family "Bacterial small subunit ribosomal RNA", at positions 30 to 526 of the family's 1533-position model. The record is from RNAcentral.